This is a long non-coding RNA of Capra hircus (goat), 286 nucleotides long. RefSeq lists it as uncharacterized. Lineage: Eukaryota; Metazoa; Chordata; Mammalia; Artiodactyla; Bovidae. The record is from RefSeq and is a predicted model, not a curated record. The transcript has 2 exons.
UGUCUGCAAAAGACGUCUAGCUAAAAGGUGCGAUUAAAAACCCCUAUAUAAGCACUGGGAUCCCUAAACCCAGUAUCACAAGCUCUCAGCCUGAGUCCUCCAUCUCUCUUGGCAACUCAGGUGCACCCCAGUUGGCUAAACAAGAUGACUCACCGUCUUCUGAGAAGCAUCGUCAGUAUCAUUGAUGCUUUCCUCUCUGAUGCAAAGAGUGAUGGAGAUGGUCAGAGGCUGAAUAAGACAGGACUUAAGAAACUUCUCCAAGAAGAGUUUGGAAAUGCUCUGGAGG